GGAAGGUUGCCCGAGAGGUAAGGGACCGGUUUGCUAAACCGAGGUUGGGUGAAAGCCCAGAUGGGAUCGUUACCCAUACCUUCCGCCA
This 88-nucleotide transfer RNA is filed under the name compost metagenome. Its description in RNAcentral is "tRNA-Ser". It matches the Rfam family "tRNA". Rfam says of the family: Transfer RNA (tRNA) molecules are approximately 80 nucleotides in length. Their secondary structure includes four short double-helical elements and three loops (D, anti-codon, and T loops). Further hydrogen bonds mediate the characteristic L-shaped molecular structure. tRNAs have two regions of fundamental functional importance: the anti-codon, which is responsible for specific mRNA codon recognition, and the 3' end, to which the tRNAs corresponding amino acid is attached (by aminoacyl-tRNA synthetases). tRNAs cope with the degeneracy of the genetic code in two manners: having more than one tRNA (with a specific anti-codon) for a particular amino acid; and 'wobble' base-pairing, i.e. permitting non-standard base-pairing at the 3rd anti-codon position. The record is from RNAcentral.